Long non-coding RNA from Zingiber officinale, 770 nucleotides. RefSeq lists it as uncharacterized. The transcript has 3 exons. Lineage: Eukaryota; Viridiplantae; Streptophyta; Magnoliopsida; Zingiberales; Zingiberaceae. The record is from RefSeq and is a predicted model, not a curated record.
UGUCCCUUUCUUUUUCCCCGCGCGCUCGACGCCGCCCAUUCUUCGCAGUCCGAUGGUUUCAUCUUCACAAAACCGUCGGCGCAGGUUCUUCCUAUUUCUUCUCACCAAUCUCUUCCUUUUCCCUACCCAAGCCCUAAACUCUCCACGCCAGCGCCGACGACCUCUUUCUCCUGUGCCCUAAAAUCCUGUCGCUGAUUUUUUUCCCCUUCCUUCGCAUCGUUGUGCCCUAGAUCUACAGCGACGCCGGCCACCUUCUCCUUCUUCCGACAUCUGAGCCCUAGCACCGCCGCCGACACCUGAGCACGAGCCGACGACAGUGCCGAUCUUUCUAUUUCCCUUGAUGCUCACCAUCGCUGUGCCUUAGCACAGUCACUGAUUUUGUCUCCUUCCCUCCAGUGGUCGAUAAUUGGGAGGUAGGUACGUUGCCUUGUGAUUCAGGUGAUAUAUUGGUUUUUCUUUGUGUAAUCUUCUUCCGGUGAUGGACUAUGAGGGGAUGUGUCGGAUCAAUUUCUUGUUGUAUUCCCUGAUCAGUUCUUGUUCUUCUUCCUUGUUGCUGACCAAGGCCCCUGUUGAGGGAAGGAUUGCAGCAGGGUGUUAUGUACUGUGCAUCAAUAAUCAGGGGGUGGUGAGGGAGAGGAAAGCUCUGCCGUGAAGUACUCCAAUAGCAAACCCCGAGUUCCAACACAAAGCACGGCUGCGAAUUGAGGACUGUGAUUCGAGACGGACAUCUCGACAUCGGAAUUAGUUCGAUUCGAUCUACAUUGGAGGCG